Molecule: long non-coding RNA, 1060 nt
Filed under: Marmota monax (woodchuck)
Lineage: Eukaryota; Metazoa; Chordata; Mammalia; Rodentia; Sciuridae
Source: RNAcentral
GAGUACAUCAUUCAUCACUAAGGAACCCAUUCAUUGUAUCUGGAAUUCACUUGACCUAACCAGUCCACACCCCCUCCCUCCAUUCUGACCAAGCCUCUUCUAACAAGGUGCUCAUUUUUAACAUGAAUCCAAAAUAAAAGGGUCAGGAUAACUAUUAAAUAAAUGCAAGGGUUCCUGCAUCAUCAAUAGAGAAUACCUAAAAUUAUACUAACAUGCAUAAUAAAUGACAAGGCAAGUGAUUUCUAACUCAUUUGAAAGAAUUUUUCUGAAAUAUUCAGAAAUCUUUCUUGUUUUUAGCUUUUCUUCAUAUGUUCCACAUGCACACACGAUAAGGUGGCAUUAAUUAGAUUCAAUAUAUUUUCUAGGAUUAAUUAGUUGUCAGGCUUCCCUAUUCGUUGUUAUAUUUACCACUAAGAAAAGAAUUUGACAGCACUAUCUCAUAGAUUAGGAAAAAGUUCUUCAAAAUCAACAGAGGUGUGUGUGUGUGUGUGUGUGUGUGUGUGUGCGUAUUUAGCAUUUAAAACCAGGUUUUAUAAUUGAUACAUUUAUCCUGAUAGAUUUCCAAAUGAAUCAUCCUGGUGACUAAUAUCUAAGCACAGCAGAAUUUUAAAAUAAUCCAAUAUUUAAAUGCCAAAUACUAUACAGGCAAACAAUUAGAAGUAUAAUUUUCCUUCAGUGAAUGCAAAGUGUUGAUAGAUGAUGUACAAGUUAGCUUUGAAUAUAGGUAUUACGUUAUCACUGUGAUGUUAUUUUUAUCUACUUUGAAGGGGCACACUAGGAAAGUGUUCUCAAUGAACACUUCAGAUCUAUUUUAGAUAAUAACAACUACUUACAAAAUCUGUUUUACUGUUGGUAUACUCCACAUUGAUAAAGAGAUGUUAUUCUUGUGUAUAUGCUACAUAUUAACAAAAAUGCAUUGAUAUCUCCUUUUCUUCACUUGUGAAGUUUUUUCAUGAUCUUAUUUCACUCAUAUCUCACCUUGAAGAAAUUUACAGGUAGACACACUUUUUCACUUCUGUAAUCAAUUGUAUUUUAAAACUUAUUUUAAGGAUCAAUAAAU